RNAcentral lists this small RNA (2939 nucleotides) under Pan troglodytes (chimpanzee). RNAcentral's name for it is "retained intron". Lineage: Eukaryota; Metazoa; Chordata; Mammalia; Primates; Hominidae. The record is from RNAcentral.
GUAGCCUAUAGGGAAGGGCCUUGGAAGGAUCACCCAGAACUCAAGGGACCUGGCCAGAAGCCUGCAGGCUUGGUCAGGGCUUAGAGACUUGACUGAGGCCUGUGGAGGUGGAUGUGGCUAAAAUUUGACCGGGCAGCCUGUGGGCGUGGCUGAAGAGCAUGGGGGUGUGGUCAGAGCUGGAGGUGUGGCCGAAGAGUGUGGGGGCGUGGCCAGGGCGCCUGGGUCUUAGACAAGCCCCGGGAUGGGAGUGCCACCAACGUGUUUCCAGCACUGGAGCCGUCCUUCUCUUCUGUAGGUGGGCUGGUUUGUCCUCUCCCUUCCUCCAUCUCUUUUUUCCCUUCCAUGUGCAGUGCCCUAAUCUGCAUUCUGGGAACACUGCCCCAUGUGAAAAGUAACUGCACCCCUCCUUUCCUGACUGCCCCCCCAUCAGGGCACCUCGCCCACCUCCACCCCCACUGUCCUCUGAACUCAGAGCAGCUUCAGCCUCAGAGAACGUCUGCGUGAUCCUGCUCUCCCCAGCUCCAAAUCCUCCAUGGCUCCCUCACGCCCUUUGGAAAAACUCACUCUUCUCGCCCAUGACCGCCAGACCCCUGGGCUCCUGCAUUCGCUCCAUCCAGUCACAGCGCUCCGCAAACAUGCUGAGCCUGCUCCCAUCCCAGGACCUGACGGGGUAACUAGAUCCCUGGCUUUCUGGGCAAGCUCCCUCCGGAGGGCGCGAGGAGAGUGACACGCCCGAUCUUGCACCCCAGCUAUGUGGGCCGGAAGCGGAUGCAGGUGGAGCACCCCGAGAAGGCUGUGCCCCGCGUGAGGAACCUGGUGGAGGCCGACUACUCCUACUGGACCCUGGCCUAUGUGAUCUCCCUGCAAGGCGCCCGCAAACUGCUGGCUGCUGAGCCGCUCUCCAAGAUGCUGCCUGUGGACGAGUUCCUGCCCGUCAUGUUCGACAAACACCCAGUGUCCGAGUACAAGGCCCACUUCUCCCUCCGCAACCUGCAUGCCUUCUCCGUGGAGCCGCUGCUCAUCUACCCCACACACUACACAGGAGACGAUGGCUAUGUGAGUGACACCGAAACCUCAGUCGUAUGGAACAAUGAGCACGUCAAGACCGACUGGGACCGCGCCAAGUCCCAGAAGAUGCGGGAGCAGCAGGCACUGAGCCGUGAGGCCAAGAACUCGGACGUGCUCCAGUCCCCACUGGACAGUGCUGCCCGGGAUGAACUCUGAGGGGUAGCAGCCAGAAAGCCAAAGCAGCGAUCGGUGGCCCAGGCUCCACGUGCUUACUGAGGACAUCAGGGCCACCUCUGGACCCCUUGGCAGGCCACAGAGGGCUCUCGUGUGGGGUGGUGUCCAGCCAGCUCUUGCUAAGCAAUCACGUGCACACAGGCAGCAUUAAUGGAGUGCCUACCGCAUGCCAGCAACAGGGCUUGGCCCUGGGGAAUUGGGAGGAACCAAGCCCUCUUCAUCUGUUCAUGUGCCCAGCAUUUAUUAAGCACCUGCUGUAUGCAAGGUUCCCAUGUUACGGCAGUGAAUGAGGCAUAAUUGUUCCCUCCAUCAGCGAUUGAUUCAGUCAUCAAGCAGUUACUGAUCAGAUUAAGAAUCAGGCACUAGUGAUACACAUUCAUUUUUAAAAUUCAUUCAAGGAUUUAUUGAGUGCCUACUGUGUGUUGGGUGCCAUUCCAGGCUCUGGGAUUUUUUUUUUUUUAAGAGUAGGGUCUGUCUCUGUCACCCAGGCUGGAGUGCAGUGGUGUGAUGUUGGCUCACUGCAGCCUGCGCCUCCCAGCGUCCAGCAAUUCUUGUUUCUCGGCCUCCCAAGUAGCUGGGACUAUAGGUGCGUGCCAUCACAUCUGGCUAGUUUUUGUAUUUUUAGUAGAGACGGGGUUUCACCAUGUUGGCCAGACUGGUCUCGAAUUCCUGACCUCAAGUGAUCUGCCCGCCUUGGCCACCCAAAGUGCUGGGGUUACAGGCAUGAGCCACUGUGCCCAGCCCAGGCUCUGGGAAUAUUGAGAUAAAUAAGAUGCUUCUAUCCAUUUAUUCAAGCACAUAUUGGUCACCUACUGUGUGCCUGGCACUCGUGUCACAAAGAUAAGUUCCUGAUUCGGUACACUUACUGAGCACCUGCUGUGUGCAGGGAGCUGAGCUAUGGGAUGGGAAUGGGAGUAAGCAAGGUACUUUUCACUUUUUUCUUUUUUUCCUCACUGCUAGAUGGUGUGGGAACUUCUCACUCAUUGGCUUCUUUCCCACACACCUGAAGAGCACUGACUGUGUGCCGGGCACUAGUGAUACAAAAGAGUGUGACAGUUGUUCAGUCUGCAUUUUCGAUCAUGGGCUACAUGCCGAGUGCUGGGGCACAGAGAUGAACAAGAUCGGUUCCUUCACUUCUUCAUGCCACAAGCGUUUAUUGAGCACCUGUGUGCCAGGCCUCACAGACUCCCAGUUGUUGGGUUGAAGAAUGGUUGACUGAGUUUGAUUUUUCCUGUACCCCCCGUCGUCUGAGCUGUGUGCAGACAACAUCCCCCCACCACCCAAGAGGGAGGGUAGCUCUUCCGCCACCAGGGGCAACCACAGGUCCUGGUGGCCUCACGCCACAAGUCAGCCCCCCUGGAGGGGGCGCCAGUUGGAGACGGGGGCUGGGUGUCCCUGGCCCACCCCCGGUCCCCUGUGCUUUACCUCCCUGCCCUUGUGUCUCAGGUGUGGUCCCUGCCUGCUUGAUGAAGUUGCUCUGUUCAAGCCUUUGGUGGGAUCAUGUGUUUGGGGGCUUUUAGGGGACCCAGCUGCACUGGGGCACUGCCCGUGGCCUGGGUAGGACAUUUCCCAGCAAGGGCUGGAGUUGCCGUGCCUUCAGCCUGAAUCGAAUGUCAGAACCAGCCAGCGGUGCUUCACCCUCUUGGGGAUAACUUGCUUAUUUUUUAAAUAAAUGUUCCUGGUUGGUUUUCACAGCA